Long non-coding RNA from Pelobates fuscus (common spadefoot toad), 1364 nucleotides. RefSeq lists it as uncharacterized. The record is from RefSeq and is a predicted model, not a curated record. NCBI's taxonomy places the organism in Eukaryota, Metazoa, Chordata, Amphibia, Anura, Pelobatidae. The transcript is spliced from 2 exons.
UCAAAAUCCAUGACCUAUUUGCCCCUCUGGUAUUUAAAUAUUUAAAGGAAACAAAAAUAGGUAUAAACUGAGAAAUAUGGAGUUUUCUCAGUAUUCUUUCUGAGUACACCUGAAGAAAGUGCACUAUUUUUUUUUCAUUAGUUGGACCAAUAUAUAGAGUAUUUUUAUAUUCAUUUUAUUUUCCCCACUGCAAUAUACAGACCUAUUGAGGUUUUAAAAACAUUACAAAAAAAAAAUAUUUUGAUAUAGCUGGAACAGUGAUGGUGAUAAAGUGGAAAUUGUGUGGGGAUUUUUUUGUUUAGUUUUUUUUUUUUAAUUUGAGAUUAAAUAUCUAUAUUUAUAAACCAGUUGAAAACUAGUGACUGCAUGUUUGCUUUUUGUAUAAAAUGUGAUUUGUUCCUCCACCUUUCCCUCCUCCCCCCUCAUGUUUUUAUUCCAUUAUUUUGAGACCCCAAGGUUGAGGCAGAUAUAUUUUCUGACUGUUACAAAUGGUCAAAGUUUGUUUGGUGUUACUUGUUUUAUGUGUUAUGUUUUAAAUACAUUCCUAAUAAAUAUUUUGGAAGUUUUUUUAACCAAGAUUAAAACCCCAGAUUAUUUUUAAAUGUGUUCCUAUAUUAAAGAAUUCCUCCUAUGUUGGUGUUACAUUUUAUGUUCUCUUUAUUAUUAUUAUUUUUUUACCACGGUUCCAUCUGUUUUGGUUUUUACAUUUUUUUUUUCUAUUGUACAGAUGAUCAUGUUACCGUCCUAUUCCAGUGAAAGAAAUCAGUUGUGACUUGAAAAUAUAGAUGAGACUGUAAUUACAAAUUGACUUCUAAAACUAGAGUGAUGCAUCCGUUGUCUGUAGAGAGCAAAUGUUGUUUUAAUGCCGGACUUGCAGAAUUUUUAUUUUGUGCAGGACACCUUUGUUUGAUAUCUUAGUAUUGUCAUAAGUACUUAUAUGUGACUGUGUAUUACAUUCAAAGAGAGACGUUCUUUAAUACAUUAUUAUUUGGCUAAAUCUAAAGUAAGCUUUUUAAUACUAUAUUGCCAACCAAGCUGAUUGGGAGCAGUACAAUAGUCUGAAUCCUAGUACUCCAUAUCCACCCUUGAGACUGCUUUACACGUGGUCUUGGGACACUACACGAUUCCUGAGGAUCUAUGGGUGACCCGUAUAUUUCUCACCAGGCUAUACAUAUGCAAUAUCCUGUUAACUGCUGUUGCUAGUCUAGGGCAAAAUUAAUCAAUGAUAUACAUGCAUUAGUUCAACAGCCAUUGCGAGCUGCUGUUUUACAUACCUGUGCUGUACAGUAGAAGAGGUUAGUAGAUGUAAGACCUGCAUAGUUUUUCACAAGCCAACACUUUAAUAAUAUGAUAUGAAAUUUAAA